This 500-nucleotide ribosomal RNA is filed under the name uncultured bacterium. RNAcentral's name for it is "bacterial SSU rRNA". It matches the Rfam family "Bacterial small subunit ribosomal RNA", at positions 1 to 507 of the family's 1533-position model. The record is from RNAcentral.
AUAGUCGCGACGUAGUUGAUCAUGGCUCGAGGACGAACGCUGGCGGCGUGCCUAACACAUGCAAGUCGAGCGGGGAUUGAGGAGAGCUUGCUCAAAUCAAUUCUAGCGGCGGACGGGUGAGUAACGCGUGAGCAACCUGCCUUCUACUGGGGAAUAACGCACCGAAAGGUGUGCUAAUACCGCAUGAGACCACAGAACCACAUGGUUUAGGGGUCAAAGAUUUUAUCGGUAGAAGAUGGGCUCGCGUCUGAUUAGCUAGUUGGUGAGGUAACGGCCCACCAAGGCGACGAUCAGUAGCCGACCUGAGAGGGUGAUCGGCCACAUUGGAACUGAGAAACGGUCCAAACUCCUACGGGAGGCAGCAGUGGGGAAUAUUGGGCAAUGGGCGCAAGCCUGACCCAGCAACGCCGCGUGAAGGAAGAAGGUCUUCGGAUCGUAAACUUCUAUCCUUGGUGAAGAUAAUGACGGUAGCCAAGAAGGAAGCCCCGGCUAACUACGUG